UGAAGAGAGAGGUUAGCGAGGGAGACCAAGUGUUGCAGGGAGGACGGUGAUUGGCUCUGCAGCCAGAGACAUCUCACUACAGGGCCCAGGCCUGGCUCCAGAGCACUGCUACAUCGAGAACCUGCGGGGCACCCUCACCCUCUACCCCUGUGGCAAUGCCUGCACUAUUGAUGGGCUCCCUGUCCGGCAGCCUACCCGGCUCACUCAGGGCUGCAUGUUGUGCCUGGGUCAGUCCACCUUCCUUCGCUUUAACCACCCGGCUGAAGCCAAGUGGAUGAAAAGCAUGAUUCCAGCAGGGGGCCGAGCCCCUGGGCCCCCCUACAGCCCUGUUCCUGCAGAAUCAGAAAGUCUGGUAAAUGGGAACCACACCCCACAGACUGCAACACGGGGACCCUCCGCCUGUGCCAGCCACAGUUCCCUGGUGAGCUCUAUUGAGAAGGACCUGCAAGAGAUCAUGGACUCACUGGUGCUAGAGGAGCCUGGAGCUGCUGGCAA
RNAcentral lists this small RNA (495 nucleotides) under Pongo abelii (Sumatran orangutan). Its description in RNAcentral is "processed transcript". The record is from RNAcentral. Lineage: Eukaryota; Metazoa; Chordata; Mammalia; Primates; Hominidae.